Molecule: ribosomal RNA, 861 nt
Filed under: uncultured archaeon
Lineage: Archaea
Description: bacterial SSU rRNA
Rfam family: Archaeal small subunit ribosomal RNA
Source: RNAcentral
CGGUUGAUCCUGCCGGAGGCCACCGCUAUUGGAGUUCGAUUAAGCCAUGUGAGUCGAGAGGGUUCGGCCCUCGGCAGACUGCUCAGUAACACGUGGAUAAUUUGCCCUUGGGAGGAGGAUAAGCUCGGGAAACUGAGUAUAAUACUCCAUAGGUAUAGGUUGCUGGAAUGCUCUUAUACUUAAAGCUCUGGCGCCCAAGGAUAAGUCUGCGGCCUAUCAGGUUGUAGUGAGUGUAAUGGACUCACUAGCCGACGACGGGUACGGGUCGUGAGAGCGAUAGCCCGGAGAUGGAAUCUGAGACACGAUUCCAGGCCCUACGGGGCGCAGCAGGCGCGAAAACUUCACAAUGCGGGGAACCGCGAUGAGGGAACUCCAAGUGCCUAUACUUUGUAUAGGCUGUUCAGGUGCCUAAAAAGCAUCUGGAGUAAGGGCUGGGUAAGUCUGGUGCCAGCCGCCGCGGUAAUACCAGCAGCUCAAGUGGUGGUCGUUUUUAUUGGGCCUAAAGCGUCCGUAGCCGGUCAGAUAAAUCUUUGGGUAAAUCGACGGGCUUAACUCGUCGACUUCCGAAGAGACUGUCUGACUUGNGACUGGGAGAGGUCGGAGGUACUCUAGGGGUAGGGGUGAAAUCCUGUAAUCCUUAGAGGACCACCAGUGGCGAAGGCGUCCGACUAGAACGGGUCCGACGGUGAGGGACGAAGCCCUGGGUCGCGAACCGGAUUAGAUACCCGGGUAGUCCAGGGUGUGAACGCUGCAGGCUUGGNGUUGGGGGUCCUACNAGGGCGUCCAGUGCCGUANAAGAAGUUGNUAAGCCUGCCGCCUGGGGAGUACGAUCGCAAGAUUGAAACUUAAAGGAAUNGCGGG